Nematostella vectensis (starlet sea anemone) is the source of this 502-nucleotide non-coding RNA. Lineage: Eukaryota; Metazoa; Cnidaria; Anthozoa; Actiniaria; Edwardsiidae. The record is from Rfam.
UGACCUCAGAUCAGGCAAGGCUACCCGCUAAAUUUAAGCAUAUUACUAAGCGGAGGAAAAGAAACUAACAAGGAUUCCCCUAGUAAUGGCGAAUGAAGCGGGAACAGCUCAAAUUUAAAAUCUCCGUUGCUUGCAACGGCGAAUUGUAGUUUCGAGAAGCACUUUCUCGGCGGAUCCGAGGUCGUCCAAGUUGCUUGGAACAGCACGUCGUAGAGGGUGAAAACCCCGUCUGCGGCGACCUCGGUCGUUCACGAUGUGCUUUCGACGAGUCGGGUUGUUUGGGAAUGCAGCCCAAAAUGGGUGGUAAACUCCAUCUAAAGCUAAAUAUUGGCACGAGACCGAUAGCGAACAAGUACCGUGAGGGAAAGAUGAAAAGCACUUUGAAAAGAGAGUUAAAAAGUACGUGAAACCGUUAAAAGGGAAACGAAUGGGGUUAGCAAUGCGUCGUGCGAGAUUCAGCCGGUGGGUGGGCCAGGCGGGCGGUUGGCGGAUCUGAAUGGAC